Small nucleolar RNA from Ornithorhynchus anatinus (platypus), 138 nucleotides. The record is from RefSeq and is a predicted model, not a curated record. Lineage: Eukaryota; Metazoa; Chordata; Mammalia; Monotremata; Ornithorhynchidae.
ACCUUCUCAGGGUCUCAUCUGGAGAAUUUCCAGUACUCUACCAGUCUCAACUACAGGAGGGAAAGCAAAGCAGAAGCAAACCCAUUCCAUUCCUAGUUUGGGCAGUGACUAGUAAGUGGAAGUCAAUCUGCUACUAGU